This 253-nucleotide ribosomal RNA is filed under the name uncultured bacterium. RNAcentral's name for it is "partial 16S ribosomal RNA". It matches the Rfam family "Bacterial small subunit ribosomal RNA", at positions 524 to 776 of the family's 1533-position model. The record is from RNAcentral.
UACGUAGGGGGCAAGCGUUAUCCGGAUUUACUGGGUGUAAAGGGAGCGUAGACGGCAGAGCAAGUCUGAAGUGAAAGCCCGCGGCCCAACUGCGGGACUGCUUUGGAAACUGCCCGGCUAGAGUGCUGGAGAGGUAAGCGGAAUUCCUAGUGUAGCGAUGAAAUGCGUAGAUAUAUGGAGGAACACCGGUGGCGAAAGCGGCUCUCUGGUCUGUAACUGACGCUGAGGCUCGAAAGCGUGGGUAGCGAACAGG